CAGCCGCCGCGGUAAAACGUAGGGCGCAAGCGUUAUCCGGAAUUAUUGGGCGUAAAGAGCUCGUAGGCGGUUUGUCGCGUCUGCCGUGAAAGUCCGGGGCUCAACCCCGGAUCUGCGGUGGGUACGGGCAGACUAGAGUGAUGUAGGGGAGACUGGAAUUCCUGGUGUAGCGGUGAAAUGCGCAGAUAUCAGGAGGAACACCGAUGGCGAAGGCAGGUCUCUGGGCAUUAACUGACGCUGAGGAGCGAAAGCAUGGGGAGCGAACAGGAUUAGAGACCCCAGUAGUCCCUGUCUCUUAUAC
This 301-nucleotide ribosomal RNA is filed under the name uncultured bacterium. RNAcentral's name for it is "partial 16S ribosomal RNA". It matches the Rfam family "Bacterial small subunit ribosomal RNA", at positions 509 to 807 of the family's 1533-position model. The record is from RNAcentral.